UACGUAGGGUGCAAGCGUUGUCCGGAAUUAUUGGGCGUAAAGAGCUCGUAGGCGGUCUGUCGCGUCGGCUGUGAAAACUCGGGGCUCAACCCCGAGCCUGCAGUCGAUACGGGCAGACUAGAGUGCUGUAGGGGAGACUGGAAUUCCUGGUGUAGCGGUGAAAUGCGCAGAUAUCAGGAGGAACACCGGUGGCGAAGGCGGGUCUCUGGGCAACACUGACGCUGAGGAGCGAAAGCGUGGGGAGCGAACAGGA
This 253-nucleotide ribosomal RNA is filed under the name uncultured bacterium. RNAcentral describes it as "partial 16S ribosomal RNA". It matches the Rfam family "Bacterial small subunit ribosomal RNA", at positions 524 to 777 of the family's 1533-position model. The record is from RNAcentral.